UACGUAGGCAGCGAGCGUUGUUCGGAAUUACUGGGCGUAAAGGGCGCGUAGGCGGCCUGCUAAGUCGAACGUGAAAUCCCCGGGCUCAACCCGGGAACUGCGUCCGAUACUGACAGGCUUGAGUCCGGGAGAGGGAUGCGGAAUUCCAGGUGUAGCGGUGAAAUGCGUAGAUAUCUGGAGGAACACCGGUGGCGAAGGCGGCAUCCUGGACCGGCAUUGACGCUGAGGCGCGAAAGCCAGGGGAGCAAACGGG
This 253-nucleotide ribosomal RNA is filed under the name uncultured bacterium. RNAcentral describes it as "partial 16S ribosomal RNA". It matches the Rfam family "Bacterial small subunit ribosomal RNA", at positions 524 to 776 of the family's 1533-position model. The record is from RNAcentral.